CACACACACACAAAAACAAAACAACAACAACAACAACAAAAACUUUUAAGCGGAAGAAAUUAUGACAGCACAUUCGUAUGCUGGGAAUGAUCCAGUAGAGAGUAACAACUUGAUGAUACAAGAGCAGGUGGACAAUUGCUGGAGCAAUGUCUUUAAGUAGGUAAGAAGGAUGGGCUCCAGUGCAUAAGGGGCAGGAUGGGUCUUAGCUAGGAGCCUGAGCUAUUCAACCAUGGCUACAGGAGGAGACACGCUGGGUGUUUGGACAUAGAGACGUAUACGUGGGUUGGAGCACAGGUGCCCACUCUGGCUCAUCAGGCCUCUUGCUGGCAGUUAGUACAUUUGACAGAUGAAAGUGUGGUCCGUGGUUCUUGUGCCAUGUGCACCAGUGUGCUGCAUGAAAGGCCAGCCCUCUCAUUCUCCCCUCAUGGGUACACACAGACAUGGGCUCUUUCCAGGCCUUUCUUCUUGUCCUCACCACUUUCUUUUGGUAACAUAGCAUUACAUUUAUGUCCAUUCUGCAGUUUAAGAAAUCUUGAGCUGAGACCGGCAUAUCCAUUGACAUAAGGUCACACACUGAUAAGUGUUAGAUCAGAGAAAUGAAUAGACAUUUUGACUGUUUCUGGGUUCUUUCACAUCAUUAUCAGGUGUAGCCAAGGAAACAGGGAAGUUUUUCUUCUGAAGAGUCUGAGAUUUGAUGUCCAUUCAGGUGCACAGGGGUGCCUUUACCAGAUGGAGAGGAGCUCCAGGUAAGUACAAUGUGCAGAUGGCCUUUGCCCCAUUUGCUGAGAAGGGGCUUGGAGCGUUGGGGAGCUUCUCUCCUCAUCAUAGCCUUUCAGGGACUGCACUCUGACCACAUUUUCCUGUCUGCCCGUCCUCCUCCAUCAAAGUGGAGUCAGCACUCCACUUUUCCCUUUUGCUCCUUAUAUUUGGGGAGAAGCAGGGUUUAUGUGCACAUUCAGUUGGCCCAAUCAGAGACUUUUUGAAACUGGAAAAAGCCAUUGUAGGACUUCUGGUCGAAUCCUCUCCUUAUCUACUCUACCUUCUUCAUUUGCCUAUGUUGGCAUCUCAGGCACUAUCUACUAUCUACUUCUAGUACUUUCUACCCUCAAAACAGGAAAACAUACACACACGUGUAGGAGCGUACACACACACACACACACACACGCAGAGCUGCUUUGUUCCCUUUUGGAAGGAGCUGUAAGAAAAAUUGUGAGGGUUUAGCCUGAAAACUCUCCCUGCUGUUCCCAGGGCUGUCAUUGCAAUCAUUAUUUGGACCACUGGAGGCGGGGCUUUGGCAUGCAUCUGGCAGUCACUCUAAAAUGCUUUCCCCUCAAAAUCUGCUACUUUAUAUUAGGCAAGCUGUACACUCCAAGUAGUAGGUGUUUUCUGUUACAUAUACAUAGUGUAUUAAGUCUCAGUAGAUGAUUGUCAUGCUAUGGCUAACCAGUCUGAACUCUUAAUUAUAAUGAGGCAUUAUUAAAAAGGUUCAGAGGUACAGAUGGAUGAAAAGGGUGUUUCACGUAUUAUAAUAGGAAUCACUUAAAUAAUAUAUUUAGAUGAAUCUUAAACUCGCCUUACAAACAGAAGUUAAGGUUAAAAAGAAUUUAGAAAAAAUAAAGUUUUAGAGUGUUUGAGAAUGUGUAUAUAAAAUAUUUUCAAAGCCAUAAUAUGGAUGCUCUUAUGGCUCAGAAGCAUGCCUACUAGAACACAUCUCGGAAUGAGAGAUGUUUAAUUCUAUCGCCUUCCAGAAAGUUUUGCAGGAUUUCUCACUUGAAUUUGCUUCCCUUUGCAACCUCUUGUCCUGAAGGCCCCCUUCCUACCUGGAAAUACUGAGGCAUGGGUGUGAUGAGAAUUAAUCAUUUUGAAGAGAAUGAGAUGAUGACUUUAUUAACAUUUCCAUAUAUGCUGAUUGUGUGUGUGGCGGGGUGGGGGCUGGGGUGGAGGCUUAAGGCAAAAGCUAGAAUUAGUCAUAUGAAUUAUGGGCUUGUUUGGAGACUGGGCCGUUCAUGCUCCCAAUCAGUGCCAGUAAAUCCUGCAGACGGCUUCAACACCACUACUCUGUUUCUAUCCCACUCAUAUAAAAUUCCAUGCCAAGGUACAAACCACAAUCCUCCCUUUCUUGGUUUUUCAUGCAAAAACUAUUUUAGAAUAAAUUUAAAUGUCAAACCCUGAAGAACUUUGAAUAGUGGAGGCUUCAGCUCAUUUAGUUCACAGCAUAGCUAAAAAAUUAAAAAAAAAUUAGGACGAAAGUAUUAACAUUUUAGAGGCCUAUAUUUUUCACUGAAUUUCAGUUCCAGAGGAAGACAAAAUUGCUAUGUUGGAAGAUAGGAUGAAAGAAGAAAUACUGAGAAAAGCAUGAAUAUCAACAGCAGCACUUUCAUGCUCAGGAGAAGCCCAGAGGCCCCAUGUGUGAAUAACAUUGCAAUGGCUGCUUUAUGCAGUAUGUAAAUAAACACAGUCCCCACACCGUUUAAAAUAUUCAACACUGACCUACACAGGCCUAGACAUAAAAUGCCAGUCCAGACAGACGUUUGUGAAUAUACACACAUAACACAUUGCAGGAAGAACUUGGUGCCUUUUUCCAAAUAUUUUGUUAUGUACACAUUUCAGAUUAGAAACACUUUUAGUGUUCAUAGUCUGAGCAAUGGAAAACAUUUUUAAUCAGUCCUAGACAGCAGGAAAACUUCCUGCAGGAGUUCUACAAGAUUUAUUCUUCAUUUAACAGAUGUUUAUUUGAAAUUGAAGGCAGGAAGCUAUAUGGUAUGUCUCUAGCUUCAAAGAGCUUAAAAUGUGGCAGAGACCUUUAGGGGAGUUUGGUCAUCAGGGAAUUAAAGAUAACUUUCAUACAGCUAUGUGAGAAAAGUACAAAAUCAUGAAAAACAGAGAAGAGGCCACAAUUAUGAUUCCAAAAUGACAAACUAAAAAAGAACAUCCAGGCAAGAACCAAGAACCAACAAUACCCUGCAUUAAUUAUUCGAGUGUUUCCUGUGUUACAGAAUGUGUUCCAAUGAACUUUGAGAAUCUAAUGCAAGUUAUGGGCCCAGAAUAUCCAUAUAUCCUCAAACAUUUGCCCAAAAUGUCAGGGAUUUUAUGUCCUUGACAAUGUCUGAGUCCAUGGGCGUUGUAUUUUAAAUCUUUUAUAGUUACAUUUGCCAUAGUUAAUGUGUUAUAACUAUUUAUACUCCUGUCUCCUCCAUUAGAGUACAAGCACUUCUAGCACAGGAGUACAUUAUGUUGUAUAUUUUAUCCACACCCCUUUCUGUUUUGCAUUGUGCCUGAUGUGUAGAAGGUAGUAAAAAUGCUGACCACCCACUUGCCUACCUACCUCAGUGUUCAGGUGUUAGGUUAAUGCAGCAUCUUCCAAAUAUUAGUCAUUUGAGUAACACCCUCACAAUUUUUGCAGUAGUUGCUUACCACCUGUAUUAUUUUACAAGAUAAUGGUUUUUGGUGAUAGACAGCAUUAAAUACUAUCAAAUUUCAGAGUUGAGUAUGUUAUUUUCAUUCCAUUUCCUUUUAGCUUAACUCACACCAAGGAGGCAGUCCUAAUUUAGUUUUGGUGUAUCUUUAAUAUCUCUCUGACAUUUGGGGAUCUUCCUUUGGAAGGAACACAGAGGCUUUUGAAGGCAGGAGUAUCUGGCUAGAAGUGAAUAACAUUACUUUGUUUCUUCUUUCAUUGUGGUUAGUUUUAUGGAAAGUGAUAGUAAUUUUCUAUUUAUAGAAGUGAGAAACAUUUUUUUAACACAGACUUAAGUUUUAAAAAAAGAGUUUUAAAGAAAAGCAUCACAUCAGCUAUCUAUUGCUGUGUGGACUACUUCCAAAACAUACUGGUUUAAAAAACAAUGACUUAUUUGGAUUCUGUGAGUUGGCUGGGCUCUGCUAGGCAAUUCUUCUCUCCAUGAGGUCUGCUGGGGUCCUGUGGCUUGAGAGUUUGGUUGAGGCUGGAAGGACCAAAAUAGCUUUAUUCAUUGCUGUGGUCUGAAUGUUGGUGUCCUUUCAAAAUUCAAAUGUUGGAACUCAAGACUCAAUGUGAGAGGUGAGACCUUUAGGAGGCUCUGCCCUCAUGAAUGGAAUUAGUGCCCUUAUAAGAGAGGCUUGAGGGAGCCUGUUUGCCCCUUCUGCUACGUGAAGAUGCAACAGGAAGGCUCCAUUUAGGAAGCAGAGCAAGCCCUCACCAGACACUAAAUCUGCUGGUGCCAUGAUCUUGAACUUCCCUGCCUUCAGAACUGUGAACAGUAGAUUUCUGUUGUUUGUAAAUUACUCAGUCUAAACUAUUUUGUUCCAGGAGCCUAAAUGGACUAAGACACUUGUAUGUCUGGCAACCUAGCUGGGGUGGCCAGAAUGGCUGCAGGUGGUCAAGCCUCUCCCUGUUUAGUGGUAUCUCAUCACUUCCUAGUGAUGAGAGACCACAUGGAGCUUUUUAACAUCAUGGCUGGAUCUAAAGACAGUAAAAAAGAAAAGUACAAAGUCUCUUAAGGUCUAGAUCUAGAAGUCGCAAUGUGUUACUCCUGCUACAUUUUAUUGGUCAAAUCAAGUGACAAGACAAGUCUGGAUUCAAGGGGAGGAGAAAUAGACUCCACACCUUUUUGGGGGUUUAAUGACACAUAUGUUCAGAAAUGGAAAUAAUCUUUGGUAAAGAUUUUACAAACAAUCUACACAAAUUGUUAAGUACAUAGUAGGAUAGGUUGAGCGGAUAUGGCAAAAAUUGUGAGGGUGAUAUUCAAAUGACUAUUUGGAAGAUGCUGUCUUAACAUAACAUCUAAAUAUUGCAGUAGACAGUAAGUUGAUGAUUUUUAGUACCUUAUACAUACUAAGCACAGCAAUAUAAACAAAGGAGUUUUAUGAAAAAGAUAACAUGAUAUAAACUUGCCCUAGAACUUCUUACAUUCUAGUGAAGAAGACAGAUACAUAAAUAAAUAUAACACAAUUACCAUGAUGCAUGUUUCAGUAAAGGGUUUGAAAUAUAGAAUGCUGUCAUUUUAUGUAAAAGUCUGAGUGCAAAUGGAUUUUCUUGGGCCCAUGAUUUGUAGCAGAUCUCAAAAUUUUUAACUGUGAAACCCUAAAAGGACCUAAAAACACUGAAGAGACACGAUGGUGUGAAGCACAGAGAUCAAAGCUACUAACAGUAGUGGUAAGGAAAAGGUUUCACAGAAGUGGUAACAUUUAAAGAUAGGAAAGAGGGAGGAUGGAGGAGGAAGAAUUGGCAUGAGUUGGAUGCCAGUUAGAUGUGGGGAGAUGAGAUGGAUGUAGAGGAAGGAGAAGAAGAAUUAGGAAUGUGGGGGAAUUGAAGAAAGGGAAAGGGGAGCAAGUAAUUAAAGGAUGACAAUUUUCUAGCUGGGGAAAAUGGUAGAUGGUAGAAAAUAUUGGAGGAAGAAUGGGUUUUCUAAGUACACUUUCCAGAAUUCAGUUUUGUCCAAGUUGUGAUUGAGAUGCCCAUGUGAUAAACCAAUAGACAAUUGGGCAUGCAGGUCUGAAACUUGCCUAUCUUGUGCCAGGCACCUUUAUAGGAAUUGCAUAUAGAGCCGUGAAUAUCCUAAAGAUAUUCACAUUCUAGUGAAAGUGAAUACAAAAUACAAAUGUUAUCAGAAUUCUUAGAUUCUAAUGUGGUUGGCGGGGGGGGGAGCAGAGACAAUUCGUGUGUAAAAAAGUCAAUAUAAAUUUUACCCAAUGUUAAAUACUAAGAAUAAAGUAAAUUUAAUUAAUGGGAUAGAGAGGUCUGGGGAAGCUACUUUAUUUAGAGUAGUAUAGAAAUUGAAGGCAGCUUUUUGAACUACAACUUAAAGCUGGGAAGGAGGCCGAGCCUCUUUAGUUUGAUAAGGUAGGACAAUUGUACCAGCAAGAGAUUAACCGUUGUGAUUUAAGCUGGUGUCCCUCAGAUACCACAUCAUUGUGAGGAACUCUUCCCCCAGCACCUCCACCCACAGACAUCUUAAUCUUCCCCGUCUAGCAACAGAACCAUGUGGAGCAGAUAAUGAGUAUAAAUAAAAAUCCAUUCAUGUGUCCAGGACACCAGAGGAAUGGAAACUUCAGGGAGAGAGGAACUAUGAGAGUUAGGAAGAGAAUGUAAAGAAGAAAAUGGCAGGGGGAAGUCACUCACUGACCACUGGUGGGAUGGACAUACAUAUGCGGCUCCCAAAAGUCUGGGAUUGAGCCCCACUCCCACAGUUAGUAUCGAGGAAUGAGUUAGUCUAGAGAUGACACUCUUAACUCCUCACUACACUUUGGAUGUUGUACAAGAUGGAUUACAUCACUGUGUGAGAUGAGUUACCUCACUUGAACUUGAGUGAAGAGACUUGAGUAAACUUAGAUUGUACAAUAUUCUGGGUUUGGGGUAUACUGACUUGAGGUAGUGAUGGGACACCAUCUUCCCUCCCCACCCACUUGCACAUGGCUGGACCCUCCAGUGCGGAAGAUAGAGAGAAGAGAGUUGUCUCUGGACCAAUAUACCACCAGGAAGACUUUGUCUCCUGACAUCUCCACUUCACCCAUACUAAGGUGAGGAAACGGAGGCCCAAGAGGUCACACAUCUACUAAGUGGAGAAGCUGGGAUAGGAACGAGUCCUGACAGAUUCCUUGUCGUUCUUGGCAAAAAUAACCUGUAUUUCCAGUUUCUUGAGUGCACCUCUAGAAAAAUCUGUGUAUAGAGACAAGGUCUUGCUACAUUGCCCACACUGGACUCAAGCACCUGGGCUCAAGCUUUCCUUUUGCCUCAACCUCCUGAGUAGCUGGGACUAUAGGCAUGUGCCAUUGUGCCUGUAGAUCUCACAUUUAAUGUGAGAUUUACCCUCUUAACAGAUUUUUAAGUAUACAAUACAAUAUAGGCACAGUGUUGUACAGCAGAUUUCUAGAAUCAUUUAUCUUAUAUAACUGAAGGUUUAUACCUAUUGAGUAGCAACUCCCAAUUUCCCCCUUCCCCCAGCCCCUGGAAACCCUUCUGCUCUCUGUUUCCAUGAGUUUGACUGGAUACUUCAUAUAAGUGGAAUUAUACAGUAUUUGACCUUCUGUGUCUGCGUUAAUUCACUUAGGAUAAUAUCCUCCUGGUUCAUCCAUGGUGUUGCAAAUGGUUAGAUUUCCUUCCUUUUUAAGGCUGGAUAAAGGCUAACUUUUAAAGCCUGUAUUUAUCACAAACAUGGUCCCUGUGGGAGCCAGCUUCAUCUGGUGUGCAACUGAAGAACCAGAAGAGCCUUUUAGUGCCAAAGGAAACACUAGCUCUGUACAACAUUUACCGAGGGAGUGUUCAUAAUGCCUGCAAACUGGCAUUAUCAUGGGGGAUCUUUGAGGGACAUUAGGACUAUAUUAAAUUUCAGCCUUACACACUGACUCGAGAGCCCUGGGUAAGGUGCAUUCCAUGGCUUCUUGUUCACCUCCAUGCUUUUUGAAAAUUAACAAGAUAUCUUGGUUCUUCCACAUCAGCACACAGAGAUCUACUUUAUUUUUAAAAACAACUACAUGGUAUUCCAUUGCAUAAAUGUACCAGGAUUUGUUCAGAAUCUGUCCUCCAUUGAUGGAUAUUUAGGGUUUUUUUUUUUUUUUAAGAGUUUUGCUACUAUAAUUAUAAUGCUACAAUGAAUGAUGUGACUUUUUAUAAUACAUUUUGGGGAUCUUGCAUGACCAAGUGACCACAGGAGAGCAAUUAUAAUACUUUUGCUAUAUUUACUUAAAAAUAUAAAAUGUAUUUCCUUUUUUGGUUACUUUUGAAUUGAAACUGUUUUGGUUUUGAUUCCUAUAAUUUCAACUUUUCAAAAUUGAGUUUAAAAAAUAAUACUAAUUAAUUACUUUUUAAAAAACCCCACAUAUUAGCAUAGUGUCUAAAUCCAUUCAAUGGCAUUAGGACUCCAAAAGACAAUUUGUCAAAUGUCUCUACUAUUUAUUAUUUAUUCAACAAGUAUUUCUUGAGUGCAUGCCUCUAUGUGCCAGGGAUUGUAUUAAGGAUUUUAGUAGAUUUUAUAUUUUCUAGUUGUAUUAAAAUUGUACUGAAAUUUAAGACUAAAAACUAUUUGCUAGUUGCUCAUUUAUUCCAUUUAUAAUUGCUAAUUUAUUUCAUUAAGUUAACGAGGUAUUUGUAUAUCAGUGAGGUGGAGAGGAGGGGAAAGGUAAUAUAUUUGUAUUAAAAACUGCACUUAAUGUAUUUCCUACAUAGCAGUUAUAAAAGGUAGGGUUUCUUUUUUCUCUUCUCCCUCCUUCCCUCACUCUCUUUGUUCCUUAUCUUUCUGUCUUUCCAAUUUUAAUAAUUGGUAUUAUCAGUCCUUCUUUAUUCCUCUUCUUAUUUUUCCCUAGAUGCUUUUUCCUGGCUCUUAUUGCUUAUUUAGUUUUACAUAGGAACUUUAAAAUCAACUUGUCUAAUUUGAAAAUCCUACUAAUAAUUUUGGGGGUGUGAUUCACAAUAUAGUAU
Long non-coding RNA from Chlorocebus sabaeus (green monkey), 8389 nucleotides. RefSeq lists it as uncharacterized. The record is from RefSeq and is a predicted model, not a curated record. NCBI's taxonomy places the organism in Eukaryota, Metazoa, Chordata, Mammalia, Primates, Cercopithecidae.